This is a non-coding RNA of Paramuricea clavata, 217 nucleotides long. Lineage: Eukaryota; Metazoa; Cnidaria; Anthozoa; Malacalcyonacea; Plexauridae. The record is from the annotation of a GenBank genome assembly.
UUUACCAAACAAAUAGCUUGCAGGUAGCUUGCAGCAGGCUCGCGUUGCUUUUGGAUUGACUAACUUUGCAUAAUUAAUGUAUUUUCAAUUCCCAACGAUGGAAGAAUGUGAUUUCGACCGGCAAUUUUUAUUUGACGAGUAUGUGGCCAUUUCUCAUCGUUACGAUUUAGAAAAGAUAUCAUAGAGAAGCUAAAUAACAGCUUUUUCGACUUUCGUC